UAGUUGGUAAGGUAACGGCUUACCAAGGCGACGAUCAGUAGCCGACCUGAGAGGGUGAUCGGCCACAUUGGACCUGAGACACGGUCCAAACUCCUACGGGAGGCAGCAGUGGGGAAUAUUGCACAAUGGGCGAAAGCCUGAUGCAGCAACGCCGCGGGAGUGAUGAAGGCCUUCGGGUCGUAAAACUCUGUCCUCAAGGAAGAUAAUGACGGUACUUGAGGAGGAAGCCCCGGCUAACUACGUGCCAGCAGCCGCGGUAAUACGUAGGGGGCUAGCGUUAUCCGGAUUUACUGGGCGUAAAGGGUGCGUAGGCGGUCUUUCAAGUCAGGAGUGAAAGGCUACGGCUCAACCGUAGUAAGCUCUUGAAACUGGGAGACUUGAGUGCAGGAGAGGAGAGUGGAAUUCCUAGUGUAGCGGUGAAAUGCGUAGAUAUUAGGAGGAACACCAGUUGCGAAGGCGGCUCUCUGGACUGUAACUGACGCUGAGGCACGAAAGCGUGGGGAGCAAACAGGA
Molecule: ribosomal RNA, 513 nt
Filed under: Clostridioides difficile
Lineage: Bacteria; Bacillati; Bacillota; Clostridia; Peptostreptococcales; Peptostreptococcaceae
Description: bacterial SSU rRNA
Rfam family: Bacterial small subunit ribosomal RNA
Source: RNAcentral